UACGUAGGGGGCAAGCGUUAUCCGGAUUUACUGGGUGUAAAGGGAGCGUAGACGGCAUGGCAAGCCAGAUGUGAAAUACCGGGGCUCAACCCCGGGACUGCAUUUGGAACUGUUAAGCCGGAGUGUCGGAGAGGCAGGCGGAAUUCCUAGUGUAGCGGUGAAAUGCAUAGAUAUUAGGAGGAACACCAGUGGCGAAGGCGGCCUGCUGGACGAUAACUGACGUUGAGGCUCGAAAGCGUGGGGAGCAAACAGG
This 253-nucleotide ribosomal RNA is filed under the name uncultured bacterium. RNAcentral's name for it is "partial 16S ribosomal RNA". It matches the Rfam family "Bacterial small subunit ribosomal RNA", at positions 524 to 776 of the family's 1533-position model. The record is from RNAcentral.